GAUGAACGCUGGCGGCGUGCCUAAUACAUGCAAGUCGAGCGAACAGACGAGGAGCUUGCUCCUUUGACGUUAGCGGCGGACGGGUGAGUAACACGUAGGUAACCUACCUAUAAGACUGGGAUAACUUCGGGAAACCGGAGCUAAUACCGGAUAAUAUUUCGAACCGCAUGGUUCGAUAGUGAAAGAUGGCUUUGCUAUCACUUAUAGAUGGACCUGCGCCGUAUUAGCUAGUUGGUAAGGUAACGGCUUACCAACGCAACGAUACGUAGCCGACCUGAGAGGGUGAUCGGCCACACUGGAACUGAGACACGGUCCAGACUCCUACGGGAGGCAGCAGUAGGGAAUCUUCCGCAAUGGGCGAAAGCCUGACGGAGCAACGCCGCGUGAGUGAUGAAGGUCUUCGGAUCGUAAAACUCUGUUAUUAGGGAAGAACAAACGUGUAGUAACUGUGCACGUCUUGACGGUACCUAAUCAGAAAGCCACGGCUAACUACGUG
This 496-nucleotide ribosomal RNA is filed under the name uncultured bacterium. RNAcentral's name for it is "partial 16S ribosomal RNA". It matches the Rfam family "Bacterial small subunit ribosomal RNA", at positions 28 to 507 of the family's 1533-position model. The record is from RNAcentral.